CCUCAGUAACGGCGAGUGAAGCGGUAACAGCUCAAAUUUGAAAUCUGGCCUCACGGUCCGAGUUGUAAUUUGUAGAGGAUGCUUCGAGCAUGGUCUGGCCUAAGUUCCUUGGAACAGGACGUCAUAGAGGGUGAGAAUCCCGUAUGCGGCCAGGUGCCUACGCUCAUGUGAAGCUCCUUCGACGAGUCGAGUUGUUUGGGAAUGCAGCUCAAAAUGGGUGGUAAAUUUCAUCUAAAGCUAAAUAUUGGCCAGAGACCGAUAGCGCACAAGUAGAGUGAUCGAAAGAUGAAAAGCACUUUGGAAAGAGAGUUAAACAGUACGUGAAAUUGUUGAAAGGGAAGCGCUUGCAACCAGACUUGCGCGCGGCCGAUCAUCCGGUGUUCUCACCGGUGCACUCGGCCGUGCUCAGGCCAGCAUCGGUUUUGGCGGCUGGAUAAAGGCCCUAGGAAUGUGGCUCCUCUCGGGGAGUGUUAUAGCCUAGGGUGCAAUGCAGCCUGCUGGGACCGAGGACCGCGCUUCGGCUAGGAUGCUGGCGUAAUGGUUGUAAGCGGCCCGUCUUGAAACACGGACCAAGGAGUCUAACAUCUAUGCGAGUGUUUGGGUGUCAAACCCAUACGCGUAAUGAAAGUGAACGGAGGUGAGAACCCUUAAGGGUGCAUCAUCGACCGAUCCUGAUGUCUUCGGAAGGAUUUGAGUAAGAGCAUAGCUGUUGGGACCCGAAAGAUGGUGAACUAUGCCUGAAUAGGGUGAAGCCAGAGGAAACUCUGGUGGAGGCUCGCAGCGGUUCUGACGUGCAAAUCGAUCG
This 805-nucleotide ribosomal RNA is filed under the name Pseudogymnoascus sp. RNAcentral's name for it is "partial large subunit ribosomal RNA". It matches the Rfam family "Eukaryotic large subunit ribosomal RNA", at positions 78 to 904 of the family's 3401-position model. Lineage: Eukaryota; Fungi; Ascomycota; Leotiomycetes; Thelebolales; Thelebolaceae. The record is from RNAcentral.